UUUGGAUAUUGUUGAUGUAUUAAAUAGGGAUAAUUGCAUAUAUACUCCUCAUACGUUUGAAAAUAUUCGAUUUACCUAUACUUUUUUUUUCUUUCUAAAAUAUCCCUCAUAUAUUCCACCGUUAUUGCAAAAAUCAAAAUACCCCGCAGUUAUCUCCUAUUAAGUUAAUUUGAGUUAAACGUGAGUUAAACAUCUACCACAGUUAAAAAAAAAUUAAAAUACCAAUUUUGCCCUUAAUUUAAGGACAAAUAAGAAAUGUUGGUGACGGUAGAGAGGUAUGUUGGAAAAGAUCAAAAGUCAAAAUAUUUUUUUGUGCCCCUAACUUUAAGAGCAAAUAAGAAAGUCAGUGAUGGUGGAAGGGUAUAUUUGAAAAGACAAAAUAGUAAUUUUACAGAGAUAACAGAAUUAAUUAAAAGAUUUUAACUUUAGGGUGCGUUUGGUUCACAUUAUGAAAGAUUACUAGGAAUAAAAAAUAUCCGAGAAUCUUAUUCCUAUUCAUCCUAUUACUAAGAAUAUAGAAUUCCUGUGUUUGGUUCGCACGGUAAUAUUAAUUAGCCAUGUAAUUUAAUAUUGCAAAAAAUAUACAAUUCAUUAAUUUAUUUAUUUAAUUAAUUUUAGAUAAUGUUACCAAAAGUUUCAACAUCUUUUUAGAAAAAAGGGAGAGAGAAUAUAAGUUAGAGAGAAUGAGCAUAAUUAAAAAAAUAGAAAGAAAAAUAUAGUCGAAAUUAGAGGGAGUGAGAGAGUUGAAAUUUUAGAAAGAGAGAGAGAGAGAAAGCUUAGUUUAGAGAGAGAAAAAAAAGUUGAAUUUUAGAGAGAAAAAUAAAUUUAGAGAGAGAUAUAAGGUUAGAGUGUAAAGAAAAAUAAUAUCAAUUAGCCGGCGGAUAGGAAGAAAAAAAAAGAUUAGAUAUAUUAUGAUUAUUUCAAUCCAUUAAUAUGAGGAUACCUACCCUCCCUCAAGAGAAUGAGAUUAGUACUUUGGGAUGAAUCAUAUUCCCAAGUGAAUCCAAUAUUACCAACUAGAUUACUUAGUGCAUUUAGCCAAACACUGUCAUAUUUUUUUAUUCCCAUUGGAUUACUAGGAAUCUUUAAAAAAUAGCGUGAACCAAACGCGCCCUUAGGGUCAUAUUAGAAAUAGGUUGAAACGUAAAAAGGGUAUUUUCAAUAUUAGCCUUCUAAGAGAGGUAGAUCAGAAAGUCGGAAAUUUUUUAGGGGUAUAUAAGCAAUUGCCCCUAUUAAAUGUCCACAUGGAGGGGCUAGGGUUUAAUGCUUAGUUUGGUAUUGAGGCCUAUCUACUGCUAUUAGAUAAAAUGGAGUUGGAUUAAAAGCAUGUAGGAAUAUGUUGGAGCCACAAAAAUAUAUCGUAACCGACUAAUCGAACGUAAUAUUACGUAUGGAAACAAAUAUGAUAUUUUCUCAUCGUACUUUCUCACCGUACAUAAUGCAAUCUCUCCGCAAUCCCAAACGAAGCCUAAAAUUUAGGGUGUAAUAAUGGUGUGUAGAGUUUAAUAAUAGUAUUUACAGUUUAGCAAUUAAUAAUUAAAGUGUAAUAAUAAUAUUGU
Molecule: long non-coding RNA, 1559 nt
Filed under: Ananas comosus (pineapple)
Lineage: Eukaryota; Viridiplantae; Streptophyta; Magnoliopsida; Poales; Bromeliaceae
Description: long non-coding RNA (ACOM_LNC025408)
Source: RNAcentral